RNAcentral lists this unclassified non-coding RNA (253 nucleotides) under Hevea brasiliensis (rubber tree). Lineage: Eukaryota; Viridiplantae; Streptophyta; Magnoliopsida; Malpighiales; Euphorbiaceae. The record is from RNAcentral.
GGCCUGGCUGCCUGCUGAGGGGGCAAAAUUGCUAUGUUGAAGUGACACUUGGUUGUCCUAGAUCAGAAAGUGAGAAGGGAUUGCGAUCAAACUCAAAUUUGAUUUACCUAAGAAUCACGUUGUGGAAUCUCCUGCUAUAGGAAGAGGUGAUCAUAAGGGAUCUCCAGUUCAAACAUCUGUACAUGAGAAAGCAUUUAUCUAUCCAGCGGAGGCAGUAGUUGUUCCAGUCUUGCAAACAUCUUUUGCUAGAUCU